RNAcentral lists this ribosomal RNA (253 nucleotides) under uncultured bacterium. RNAcentral describes it as "partial 16S ribosomal RNA". It matches the Rfam family "Bacterial small subunit ribosomal RNA", at positions 524 to 776 of the family's 1533-position model. The record is from RNAcentral.
GACGAACCACACGAACGUUAUUCGGAAUUACUGGGCUUAAAGGGUGCGUAGGCUGUGCGGAAAGUUAGGUGUGAAAUCCCCCGGCUCAACCGGGGAAUUGCGCUUAAAACUACCGUGCUAGAGGAAUACAGAGGUGAGCGGAACUUCGGGUGGAGCGGUGAAAUGCGUUGAUAUCCGAAGGAACACCGGUGGCGAAAGCGGCUCACUGGGUAUUUUCUGACGCUGAUGCACGAAAGCUAGGGGAGCGAACCGG